This 74-nucleotide transfer RNA is filed under the name Methanomicrobiales archaeon HGW-Methanomicrobiales-1. RNAcentral describes it as "tRNA-Val". It matches the Rfam family "tRNA". Rfam says of the family: Transfer RNA (tRNA) molecules are approximately 80 nucleotides in length. Their secondary structure includes four short double-helical elements and three loops (D, anti-codon, and T loops). Further hydrogen bonds mediate the characteristic L-shaped molecular structure. tRNAs have two regions of fundamental functional importance: the anti-codon, which is responsible for specific mRNA codon recognition, and the 3' end, to which the tRNAs corresponding amino acid is attached (by aminoacyl-tRNA synthetases). tRNAs cope with the degeneracy of the genetic code in two manners: having more than one tRNA (with a specific anti-codon) for a particular amino acid; and 'wobble' base-pairing, i.e. permitting non-standard base-pairing at the 3rd anti-codon position. Lineage: Archaea; Methanobacteriati; Methanobacteriota; Methanomicrobia; Methanomicrobiales. RNAcentral also lists the same sequence under 2 other names. The record is from RNAcentral.
GGGCUCGUGGUCUAGUUGGCUAUGACGUCGCCUUCACACGGCGGAGGUCCUGAGUUCGAAUCUCAGCGGGCCCA